This 1333-nucleotide long non-coding RNA is filed under the name Chloebia gouldiae (Gouldian finch). RNAcentral's name for it is "Erythrura gouldiae (Gouldian finch) lncRNA (ENSEGOG00005008152.1)". The record is from RNAcentral. Lineage: Eukaryota; Metazoa; Chordata; Aves; Passeriformes; Passeridae.
GGGGAACCCGCCAUUCCCUUCCCUUCCUCUCUUCCCUUUCCUUUCUUUCCCUUCCUUCUUUCCUUUCCCUUCCUUCCCUUUCCCUCCCUCCCUCUCCUUUUCUUUCCACCCUUUCCUUUCCCUUCCCCUCCUUUCCUUUCCUCCCCUUUCCAUUCCAUUUUCCUUUCCUUUCCUUCUUUCCCUUCCUUCUUUUCACUUUCAUUUCUUUCCCUUCCCUUCCUUCUUUCCUUUCCCUUCCUUCCCUUUCCCUCCCUCCCCUUCCUUCCCUUUCCUUUCCAUUCCUUUUCUUUCCUCCCUUUCCCUUCCUUCCCCUCCUUCCCUCCUUUCCUUUCCUUUCCUUUCCUUUCCUUUCCUUUCCUUUCCUUUCNNNNNNNNNNUCCUUUCCUUUCCUUUCCUUUCCUUUCCUUUCCUUUCCUUUCCUUUCUCCUUCCUUCCCUCCCUUCUCUCCCUUCCUUCUCUUUCCCUCCCUCCCCUCCUCUCCCUUCCCUCUCCUCUCCUUUCCUUUCCAUUUUCCUCCCUUCCCUUCCCUUCCCUUCCCUUCCCUUCCCUUCCCUUCCCUUCNNNNNNNNNNCCUUCCCUUCCCUUCCCUUCCCUUCCCUUCCCUUCCCUUCCCUUCCCCGAGGGCUGCUGGCAGGAUACGAUCGGCUGCACCAUCACCUUCUGCACCUUCUGGCCCUGCCCGCGGUACGCCAUGGCUGCGUGAGGGGCUGGGGAGCGCGGGGCAAGAGCGGCGCCGUGAGGGGCUCAGGAACGCGGGGGGAUGGCGGGAGAGCGGCGCCGGGAGGGGAUGGAGAACGCGGGGGAAUGGCGGGAGAGCGGCGCCGUGAGGGAACCGGAACGGGAAAAUGGCGGCCGCGCAGGGCAUUGUGGGAUCGUGGCGGUGUGAGGGGAGGGCGCCGCGCAGGGCAUUGUGGGAUCGUGGCGGUCUGAGGCCCUCAGAGUUUUAUUUUUAUUUUUCUUUAUUUUUCCCCCCCUCCCCAUCAUUAUUUUUAGGAUAUUUUUAUGAUUUUUUUUUCCUCUUAGUAGGUUUUUUUCUGGUCUUUUUUAUUUUCCUCUUAGUAGAGAUUUUGCUCUUAGUAGUCUUUUUUUUUUUAUUUUCUCUUAGUAGUUUUUUUUUAUUUAUUUUUGUUUUUAUUUUCUCUUAGUAGUUUUUUUUUUCUCUCAGUAGGGUUUUUUUUUUUUUUUUUUUUUUUUUUUCUUUUCUCUUAGUAGGGUUUUUUUCCCUUCCUAUCGUGAAAACUCCACAUUUUAUGAUUGGCUUUUCGCAAAUAUUACAAUGAACAUUAUACAUGCAAUGUUAGAAAAUUGUGCUGUAUUCAUUCUCUUAAGUAAC